Molecule: non-coding RNA, 22 nt
Filed under: Arabidopsis thaliana (thale cress)
Lineage: Eukaryota; Viridiplantae; Streptophyta; Magnoliopsida; Brassicales; Brassicaceae
Also listed under: 1 other name
Source: RNAcentral
CAUGGCCGUUCUUAGUUGGUGG